AUCAACUGCAGCACAGGAUGUGCUCAGAGAGAUCAAGGAUGAUUGAUCAUCGCCUGGAUGGCAGCUCGACAGGACGUUGAGUAUGAUCAACAAGAACCCGCUUCGGCGGGUUUUUU
Molecule: non-coding RNA, 116 nt
Organism: Pseudomonas sp. HPB0071
Lineage: Bacteria; Pseudomonadati; Pseudomonadota; Gammaproteobacteria; Pseudomonadales; Pseudomonadaceae
Source: Rfam